CCCGAGUUGUAAUUUGUAGAGGAUACUUUUGAUGCGGUGCCUUCCGAGUUCCCUGGAACGGGACGCCAUAGAGGGUGAGAGCCCCGUCUGGUUGGAUGCCAAAUCUCUGUAAAGUUCCUUCGACGAGUCGAGUAGUUUGGGAAUGCUGCUCUAAAUGGGAGGUAUAUGUCUUCUAAAGCUAAAUACCGGCCAGAGACCGAUAGCGCACAAGUAGAGUGAUCGAAAGAUGAAAAGCACUUUGAAAAGAGAGUUAAAAAGUACGUGAAAUUGUUGAAAGGGAAGCGUUUAUGACCAGACUUGGGCUUGGUUAAUCAUCUGGGGUUCUCCCCAGUGCACUUUUCCAGUCCAGGCCAGCAUCAGUUUUCGCCGGGGGAUAAAGACUUCGGGAAUGUGGCUCUCUUCGGGGAGUGUUAUAGCCCGUUGUGUAAUACCCUGGCGGG
RNAcentral lists this ribosomal RNA (440 nucleotides) under Fusarium fujikuroi. RNAcentral describes it as "eukaryotic LSU rRNA". It matches the Rfam family "Eukaryotic large subunit ribosomal RNA", at positions 137 to 585 of the family's 3401-position model. The record is from RNAcentral. Lineage: Eukaryota; Fungi; Ascomycota; Sordariomycetes; Hypocreales; Nectriaceae.